GUAAGACCUGAAAGACUCGCUUCCAUCUUCUGAAUGCAACCCA
RNAcentral lists this transfer RNA (43 nucleotides) under Bronchocela cristatella (Green crested lizard). Its description in RNAcentral is "tRNA-Ala". Lineage: Eukaryota; Metazoa; Chordata; Lepidosauria; Squamata; Agamidae. The record is from RNAcentral.